Molecule: non-coding RNA, 291 nt
Organism: Bradyrhizobiaceae bacterium SG-6C
Lineage: Bacteria; Pseudomonadati; Pseudomonadota; Alphaproteobacteria; Hyphomicrobiales; Nitrobacteraceae
Source: Rfam
GUGCUCGAUCUGCUGCGGACAGAUGAAAUGGAUGUGCGAGUCGAAGCCGCCCGCGGUGAGAAUCUUGCCUUCGCCUGCGAUGAUGUCGGUGCCGGGGCCGAUCACGAUGGUCACGCCGGGCUGGAUGUCCGGAUUGCCCGCCUUGCCGAUGGCCGAAAUCAGGCCAUCCUUGAUGGCAACGUCCGCCUUGACGAUGCCCCAGUGAUCGACAAUCAGCGCAUUGGUGAUGACCGUAUCAGCCGCGCCCUGCCUGUUGGUGAUCUGGCUUUGACCCAUGCCAUCGCGGAUCAC